UACGAGAGCCCCAAGUGUUAUCCGGAAUUAUUGGGCGUAAAGGGCUCGUAGGCGGUCUGUUGCGUCGGGAGUGAAAACUCAGGGCUUAACCCUGAGCCUGCUUCCGAUACGGGCAGACUAGAGGUAUGCAGGGGAGAACGGAAUUCCUGGUGUAGCGGUGAAAUGCGCAGAUAUCUGGAGGAACACCGGUGGCGAAGGCGGCAUCCUGGACCAAUACUGACACUGAGGAGCGAAAGCCAGGGGAGCAAACGGG
RNAcentral lists this ribosomal RNA (253 nucleotides) under uncultured bacterium. Its description in RNAcentral is "partial 16S ribosomal RNA". It matches the Rfam family "Bacterial small subunit ribosomal RNA", at positions 524 to 776 of the family's 1533-position model. The record is from RNAcentral.